Molecule: long non-coding RNA, 926 nt
Organism: Phymastichus coffea
Lineage: Eukaryota; Metazoa; Arthropoda; Insecta; Hymenoptera; Eulophidae
Exons: 3
Source: RefSeq, a predicted model, not a curated record
GAUUUUAUGAUAACGCCAGCCAGCCAGCCAGCCAGCCAUGAAAUUUACCAUCGGGUUUGAUCAAGGAAAUUCUACCGGUGUCGUCGCGGCGUGACUCAUAAACGACGUAAGUGUUGUCCACCAGAUUCAAUUCUGUGCUCGCGUCGUAUAACCUCUUGAUAGGCUCAUAGGCCGCAGCAGGCCCAUUGAUAAUUUCAGCCUGCGCAUUGAGCCUAAGCUUACAGACUCUGUCGGAACAAUAUUUAGAAUUUUCAAAGAAAACAUCGAAUGUACCAUCUUCGCCAAGAACGAAAGCAUUCUCGUAUCGUAUCAUGCUAUUGAACAGAGACUUGUGAUUUUCAAAAUCAAUCUUCGCCUCGGAUGUAUUGCAAUUAGGAAAAUGGACGAUUCUGAAUUUGAGUAAGUAGCGUGCCUUGCUGGUAUCUUCAUCGAUCCAUGCGACAACAGAUUUAUCCAUGGAUAUGGCGUGGAUAGCGAAACUGGUUGCUGCCAUGGUCUCUGUAAAUUCUAAGUUGCACGUUUUCUUUUCUCCCUUCUCGUCCACCUUUCCAUGCGUGACGUUGCAUUUCUUGGCAAGCCGUCCAGUUUCCGAUUUCCCCAGGUAGCGGUCGCAUGCGAUAUAACUCAUAAGAGAAUUAUGCAAGUCACCAGUAACGAUAGUAUUAUCAAAACUCUCUUUCAAGUCGUAUCUUGUCUUACUUUCAGCAGUUGCACGGCAUACCGAGGUGAGCGCGAGUAGCGCUAACGUUUUCGGAGCAAACAUCCUUCGAUACUAUAAAAAGUGAUUACAAAUAUUGAUAUCGGAACAUCGAAGCUUAUUUCAAAUUAUUAAAUUAUGGAUGGCAAGAUGCUGGCUCAAUUCGGAAGUAGACACUCAAAUUAGUUUGUGAUUAAUCAACUCAUUAUACUCGAGUAGAGGGAAAUCG